ACAACAAAAGGACAGGAGGACCCAG
RNAcentral lists this non-coding RNA (25 nucleotides) under Cricetulus griseus (Chinese hamster). The record is from RNAcentral. Lineage: Eukaryota; Metazoa; Chordata; Mammalia; Rodentia; Cricetidae.